GUGGGGAAUAUUGGGCAAUGGAGGAAACUCUUACCCAGCAAUGCCGCGUGAGUGAUGAAGGUCUUAUGGAUUGUAAAGCUCUUUGAUUGGGGACGAAUAAAUGACGGUACCCAAAGAACAAGCCCCGGCUAACUAUGUGCCAGCAGCCGCGGUAAUACAUAGGGGGCGAGCGUUGUCCGGAAUGACUGGGCGUAAAGGGUGUGUAGGCGGUUUAUCAAGUUAGAAGUGUAAUACCUAGGGCUUAACUCAGGUGCUGCUUCUAAAACUGAUAGACUUGAGUGUGGGAGAGGAUGAUGGAAUUCCUAGUGUAGCGGUGGAAUGCAUAGAUAUUAGGAGGAACACCAGAGGCGAAGGCGAUCGUCUGGACCAUAACUGACGCUGAGGCACGAAAGCGUGGGGAGCAAACAGGAUUAGAAACCCUUGUAGUCC
RNAcentral lists this ribosomal RNA (429 nucleotides) under uncultured bacterium. RNAcentral's name for it is "partial 16S ribosomal RNA". It matches the Rfam family "Bacterial small subunit ribosomal RNA", at positions 354 to 796 of the family's 1533-position model. The record is from RNAcentral.